CUAUACAUGCAAGUCGAGCGGACAGAAGGGAGCUUGCUCCCGGAUGUUAGCGGCGGACGGGUGAGUAACACGUGGGUAACCUGCCUGUAAGACUGGGAUAACUCCGGGAAACCGGAGCUAAUACCGGAUAGUUCCUUGAACCGCAUGGUUCAAGGAUGAAAGACGGUUUCGGCUGUCACUUACAGAUGGACCCGCGGCGCAUUAGCUAGUUGGUGGGGUAAUGGCUCACCAAGGCGACGAUGCGUAGCCGACCUGAGAGGGUGAUCGGCCACACUGGGACUGAGACACGGCCCAGACUCCUACGGGAGGCAGCAGUAGGGAAUCUUCCGCAAUGGACGAAAGUCUGACGGAGCAACGCCGCGUGAGUGAUGAAGGUUUUCGGAUCGUAAAGCUCUGUUGUUAGGGAAGAACAAGUGCGAGAGUAACUGCUCGCACCUUGACGGUACCUAACCAGAAAGCCACGGCUAACUACGUGCCAGCAGCCGCGGUAAUACGUAGGUGGCAAGCGUUGUCCGGAAUUAUUGGGCGUAAAGGGCUCGCAGGCGGUUUCUUAAGUCUGAUGUGAAAGCCCCCGGCUCAACCGGGGAGGGUCAUUGGAAACUGGGAAACUUGAGUGCAGAAGAGGAGAGUGGAAUUCCACGUGUAGCGGUGAAAUGCGUAGAGAUGUGGAGGAACACCAGUGGCGAAGGCGACUCUCUGGUCUGUAACUGACGCUGAGGAGCGAAAGCG
RNAcentral lists this ribosomal RNA (729 nucleotides) under Bacillus pumilus. RNAcentral describes it as "bacterial SSU rRNA". It matches the Rfam family "Bacterial small subunit ribosomal RNA", at positions 49 to 761 of the family's 1533-position model. The record is from RNAcentral. Lineage: Bacteria; Bacillati; Bacillota; Bacilli; Caryophanales; Bacillaceae.